This 910-nucleotide long non-coding RNA is filed under the name Homo sapiens (human). RNAcentral describes it as "HSALNT0212854". The record is from RNAcentral. Lineage: Eukaryota; Metazoa; Chordata; Mammalia; Primates; Hominidae.
CAAACCGCGAUGAAAUUUCAACCUGCCCAACACGAUUACUGGUCCACCUAGAAAUGCCGUGGAGCGAUUUAAGAGCCUCGGAAAUUUCCUUUAAGGUCAGGAGAGAAGCUGGUAACAGAUGGGGCGAAGGAGGAAAAGUUCUUUUUGCGGCACCCUCACGCCUUCCCAGCCCUUUCGCGGUUUACUCGCUCCCCGGAAAGCAGACUAGUCUCACUCUGUUGCCCAGGCUGGAGUGCAGUGGCGCGAUCUCAGCUUACUUCAGCCUCCGCCUCCCGGUUUCAAGUGAAUUCUCCAGCCUCAACUUCACAAGUAGCUGGGAUUACAGGGCAUUCAAGCAGCCCUGAGGAGAGGUCCACAUGGUGAGCCACUGAGGGCCUUGCCAAGAGCCAGCACCAACGGUCCAGGUUUGGAGUGUACCACCUUGGAAGUGAAUCUUCCAGUCCAGUCAAGCCUUCAGAUGACUUCAGAACCGUCCAUGUAAGCCACUCUUGGAUUCCUGACCCACAGAAACUGUUGGAGACAGACAAACAUGUGCCUCCUGAUUGAAAAAACAGAACAUCACCUGUAGUCUUGCCAGUGAGAUCAAACUGAAGUCCAAUUAACCUCUGGAUCCAGCUGCCAAUUUGCAGGAAAUAGAGGAGAGAAGCAUCUGUUGAACUGCACCAUGAGUAUACACUCAGCAAAGGCCAAACUGUGGAAAAUGAUACAGGUCAAACAGCCUGGAUUCUUUAACAGUGAUGUUUCUGAAGCACCAAUGAAAAUGAAGUCCUGAAGUCCUGUGCUCAAUAUGAAAUGUUGGAAGUUAGAAGAAAAAAACAAAACUUGGAUCCAAUCUCAAGGCACUUUUUGUUUAAUGGGAAGAAGUGGAUUAUUUUAAAAGCUACAAAUAAAGUUACAUAAAAGUAGCAAA